This 316-nucleotide unclassified non-coding RNA is filed under the name plant metagenome. Its description in RNAcentral is "partial contains 5.8S ribosomal RNA, internal transcribed spacer 2, and large subunit ribosomal RNA". The stretch from base 1 to 105 matches the Rfam family "5.8S ribosomal RNA", at positions 50 to 154 of the family's 154-position model. The record is from RNAcentral.
GAACUGCGAUAAGUAAUGUGAAUUGCAGAAUUCAGUGAAUCAACGAGUCUUUGAACGCACAUUGCGCCCCCUGGCAUUCCGGGGGGCAUGCCUGUCCGAGCGUCAUUGCUGCCCUUCAAGCCCGGCUUGUGUGUUGGGUCGUCGUCCCCUCCGGGGGACGGGCCCGAAAGGCAGCGGCGGCACCGCGUCCGGUCCUCGAGCGUAUGGGGCUUUGUCACCCGCUCGAUAAGGACCGGCCGGGCGCCAGCCGGCGUCUCCAACCUUUUUUUCUCAGGUUGACCUCGGAUCAGGUAGGGAUACCCGCUGAACGUAAGCA